GAGGAUCUCGGCUGAUGGCUGGGAGCUUAUCCAUCGAGAAGAAUCGGAAGGAGUUGAUCUUGCGAACGAAGAGAAAGUUGGGACUUGGCUAGUAGCUGGAAAACAGGGGAUGAAGCCGGAAGAUUUAGAGAAAAGGAUGAGGUUGAAUCGCGGAAGAAAAGGGAUAAGAAUGAGUUGUAUAAGCGGCUGGGAACGGUUCUGAAACAGUGGAGCUUGGUCUGUGGACGUGACGUGGAAGGAAUCCGUCGCGGGUUGGCUUGAUUUGGCUGGGAGGAAGACGGGACGGCUGGCGGAUGUUUGGGAUGAAGUUUAGCCGGAAGAUAAGAUCUAGACUCUGGUUCGAAGAUGUUUAGAUGCCGUGAAAUCUGGG
Molecule: long non-coding RNA, 370 nt
Filed under: Phoenix dactylifera (date palm)
Lineage: Eukaryota; Viridiplantae; Streptophyta; Magnoliopsida; Arecales; Arecaceae
Description: long non-coding RNA (PDAC_LNC015924)
Source: RNAcentral